GAGUGAGAUGAUGCCAUACCAUCUUUCGGGACUGACCUGGAAUGGAGAGAGCAUUUUUGUUCCUGAUCACUC
Megalops cyprinoides (Indo-Pacific tarpon) is the source of this 72-nucleotide small nucleolar RNA. RefSeq annotates it as small nucleolar RNA SNORD2. The transcript has a single exon. The record is from RefSeq and is a predicted model, not a curated record. NCBI's taxonomy places the organism in Eukaryota, Metazoa, Chordata, Actinopteri, Elopiformes, Megalopidae.